Long non-coding RNA from Felis catus (domestic cat), 4350 nucleotides. RefSeq lists it as uncharacterized. Lineage: Eukaryota; Metazoa; Chordata; Mammalia; Carnivora; Felidae. The record is from RefSeq and is a predicted model, not a curated record. The transcript has 4 exons.
UGAGCCGAAGUUGGAUGCUUAACCGACUGAGCCACCCAGGCACCCCAACUUAUUUUAAUUUUUAAUCUGUAAUAAAUUGUCAUUUCCCAUGAUGUGUUGUAUUAGGAAACCCUUCUUUUAGUGUUGAUUUCCACUGAAUUGAGCCCUGACCUGUGCACAUUUGGUUGAUUAUCAAAUAUCCAACCAAAGCCUUCUGGCACCUUCCUCAAGGCUCCCCUGAGUCCCAAGGGGUCACCUCUGCCAUUUGAAAAACCCUAUGUUUCUGGUAAGGGACCUGACUGUAGGAAGCAGUGGAAGACGGUGGAAGAAGGCAUGGAGGUUUUUUUGUUUUUUGUUUUUUCCACCCAGUCUAUGCAAGUCAGAAUAAACCUCCAUCCCUUCUUUGGCCUCUAUCAAAUACAGAACCUGGUGCAGCUUCUAUGAGGAACAAGAAUUCUGUCCCUACUAUGAACACGGAGAAGGGCAAGGGAAAUGAUGUGACCAUUUUCAGUUGUAACUCUCUCUCUGGGAUCUUUUGUCUCUUUAUACAGCACUCUCUCCUGGUCUUGUCUCAAGGUUGUGUGUUCUGAGAUAUAUCUACAGUGUUAUUUACUUUACAAAGAGUAAAACUCUUUCCCAAGAGCCCACAGGCCUCUCUGUUCUUAGCUUGUUUGUCAUCUUUGAUCGUGCCUCCAGCAGCCAUAAGUAUGUUUAGAGGCUGAGGACCACAGGGCAGUCAGUCACUGUGUGUUUGUGGAAAUAACAUGAGGAAUAUGACAUCUCCCUUCACACUGAUGUCUCCUGGCCUGGCUCGCUUCUUCCAGACCUCCUUUCACGGGAAUGUUACUGAAAACUGAGACAGAAUUGUUGUUAUUAUUUUACUCCUUUUCUGUCCAGAGUUAGUCAUUAACCUGUUUAGAACAUCAAUUGUAAUCCUCACUAACUGAAAAACAUGAAAAGCCCAACUUUCUGAGAGGUGCUUGGCAAUUUUGAAUGCUCUUAUUCAAAGGUUGUUUUUUUCUAAAUUUCAUAAUUCAUCAGUUUUCCCAUCUCUUUUGGGAAAUGUGCUUUUGCAGAGUCACUGCAGCUGUUCAAAUAGUAAAAAAUAUUAUGAAUUCUCAGGGAAGACAUAUUUGCAGUAGAAAAUGUACACUGGAGCUGAAGGAAUAGAGAGUGAAAGUCAGGUCUGAUGUGCCAGUUUCUGGAAAAGAGCUGAUGCCAUAUUCAUGUAACCAGGUUCUUUUAUGGCCUCUGUAGCUGUAAUAGCUGGCAUCUUCUAUUCAUAUCUUAACUGUCUUUUCCACUUUGAUAUCAGAACACAUUCAUUUUAAUUCUGUCAUUUAAAAUUCCAAACAUAUUUUUCCACGGGACAAAAUUAAUCUGUGUGUCACAGUGUACGUAAAAAUUCAGCAUUACCUGUGAAUUCACAUAUUAUCUAUAACUUUUCCUAACUAAGUCCUGUAGGUGGCACUGUUCCUGCAGAAAACACUUUCCCAACUCCCCUAUAGGGCUCUAGGGAUGUCAUCUGCCCAUAGAUCUUUGUCCUUAGGACAGCAGGUCCAGAGAGGAAGCCAGGUAAGCAGAGGCUGCCAGCAGGACCUUGCAGGCAGAGCUGGUAUCAAUUCCUGCUUCACCUUUUGCAAGCUGUUUACCCUCAUUCCUCUUAGAACCUAUUUCCUUAUAUUUACAGCAGAGUGUAGCUGGUCAUCCUUACCUCGCAGAGUUCUGAGAAUCAGAGCUCGGGCAUGAAAGGCCUGUAGAAGGUUCUCUCAUGAGUCUCCGGAAUGAAACAACUCAUAAGAAUUAACUGGAGACAGACUCAAGAUUUCAGUGAAUGAUAUGAAACCAUAAUUCCCCAUUGUUAUUUCUGCUCUUAAUAUGCCAAGACAGAGCUGUUGAGGUGGUGAAUGGCUGCAUGGAGAGUAGUCCUGGAAAUAGAUGCCUGUGUGUGUGGAACAGACAUUCUUUAGUAGUCUGGAAUUAUCUCUCUGAUCCUCUAGGACCGGCCACUUCCUUCCUACAUUUGCAGACAUAGCCAGUACCAUGUAUGCUGCCAGAAAUUUACUGUCUUGGUUUCUCAAACUCCUAGAAGGUCUAAGUGGGACCCAGUGGGAAGAGUGGAGUUUUGUGGCACUGAUGCUGCCCUGUUGAAACCAGGUGGAGGGGAAGGAGACAGGCACUGUUCCUGUUUCACCGCGGUUCAGCUAUGUUAGUGUUGGUGUUGGUGUUGGAUUUUUCACCUUUUACCCUAACACAUCUCAAAAGUUUAAUAUCUGUCCUCAGGACAACGUGGCUGCCAGAGCAUUUCCUUCUUUCCCAGAAAGGGAAACUAUCCCAUGGGCUGCCCUUUAUCACAAUUCAUGGGCUCUGGGCCACCCCCAUCUUCUCCACCCUGGUGGCCUCUGGGACCUCACCCUCCACCUCCACCUCUACCAUUUGGUAAGAUGAUCUGAAUAGUAGUAGUUGACUUAUAAAACACAUUUCAUCUUUUUUUCUUAUUUAGUCUUUGGGGAAUAUGCAGGGAUGGCAUCACAGAGCUUUCAGGUCAACCUGACUGAGGGCAUUGCAACAUUCUCAGGACAUGCAUGAAAUGGGCUGUCAUUUCCACAUGGUGAGCUGGGCAGCAAGUGUCUCUAAUAGAGAAGAAACAGGCCUUAUACAGGGUGAUAGACAUAGCACUCCUUAGGAUGUAGCUUGUUACAGAGACCACGUGUUGGACUCUCUGAAGGAUGAGACACACCCCUAAAUUUAUUUCUAGCUAGUUGAGACCUGAGCUGUUCACAGUUGCUUGAUUAAUUAUGAAAACACCUGAACCAGGGCCCUGUGGAAUCUUCCUCAAGGGUCAGGGUCAGAUCUUUUCUCUUGACUAUAGUAUUAGUCUAAGGACAUUUCUAUUCAGAAAUAGUUAUAUAAUACCUGCUCACAUGUGGAAGGCAGCUUAUAGAUAAGCUGAAAGAUUGAACAGUUCUCCUGGAGCCAGAAGAAACACACCCAUGCUCUUCGGUUGAUUUAUUGAUGUUAUCUACCAAUUGACACUCUCAUUUUAAUUCUUAUCUGUAAUGAGAUGGUGAUUUAUUACCCCUAAUGUAUAUUAAGAAAUGGCUGUUUUAGUGACAAUUUCCAGAUUUCUAUUUGAGUUGACCUGUUGAAAGUUAUUUGACUAAUUAUGAAGAACAAGAACCAGGGCCCUAUGGUUUCUUCAUUAAGAUGAUGGGAUGGAUCUCCCCCAUCUCGCUGGGGUCACCUGAGGCUUGUGGGUUACUCUCUGCCUCUCUUCAUGGUCCUGAGUGUGAGGAAGAGUUUAAGAUGUCACAAGAUGUGGUGUUUGUUUGAAUUCUGCACAGUCUACUAAAAUCAGAACACACCUCCAUCCCUUCUAGAGCCUUUAGCCAAUCCAGAAGCUGCUGUCACUCCCAUGAGUCACAACAACAAGGACUCUACCAAAAAUGCCAAGAAGGACAAGGGUCUUUUGCAGAUCCAGAUUUUGCUCCCAUGAUUGACAAUAACAAUGAAUCUACCAAAAGGACCAAGAAGGAUAAGGUUCUCUGCAUGACCUCAGGAUCCCCAUCACCCCAUGUGUCUCUGUGCCCAUGGAUAACACUUCCAGAGAGGAGAAGACCCCAUUGUCAGGAGAGAAGCAGAUCGGGCACAGGAGGGGGCUUAGAGGAAGAGCUUUGAGCCCUGAGGGCUAUGAUUCCAUGUGUGGACACUGGCCUUGUCAUUCCUUCUUAUUUUGUAGUUCUUCACGUACAAAUAAGCAGCCUCUGUGGUGGAGGGGGGUAAGGGGUGGUGGUUGAUCCUGGACUUAGAUGCCUUCAUAUCAGGAAUAUGCUAUUUUCUUAAUUUUCUCCAUAUUCACUCCAUGAAUUCUCUAGGACAAGAGCCCUUGCUGUUCUACAUUUGCAGACAUGUGGGGACACUAGUUUCUUCCCAUAGCCUCUGUUCCCCAUCCCCAAAGCUCUCAGCGGAACCCAAAGUAUGGGUAGAGUUCUUUUGAUGCCGAUGCUGCCCACUUGGAACCCAGUUGUGGGGAAACUAGUAGGAGACGAGCACUACUUCUUUAGGUUUUCGCUUUUUGCCAGCGUUGGUGCUUGGUUCUGUCCUAUGAACACAGCUUUCAUUUCUGUUCCACAGGCCAUUAUGUAUGCAAGAGGGCCUGGUCCUUUCCUAGGUUCGCCUUGCAGGCUGUACCCCAUGGAUGGCCCUUCAUCACCAGCUCUUACCCCUCCUCCACCAUCUCCUCCACAUACUCAAUUUGGAGAAUUUGAAGUUUGAAGAGGACCCUGAACUGUGACAAAUGGGCUGGGUGAUGUAAUAUAUUUAGAAAAGUUGUCUGAUAUGCGUAUUUAACUAAAUUCUUUCCCUGACCAA